GGAGAGGUCGCAUAGUCUGGUCUAGUGCGGGCGCCUGCUAAGCGUCUAAGGGGUGUUAAGCUCCUUCGUGGGUUCAAAUCCCACCCUCUCCGCCA
Molecule: transfer RNA, 95 nt
Filed under: Chloroflexota bacterium
Lineage: Bacteria; Bacillati; Chloroflexota
Description: tRNA-Ser
Rfam family: tRNA
About the family: Transfer RNA (tRNA) molecules are approximately 80 nucleotides in length. Their secondary structure includes four short double-helical elements and three loops (D, anti-codon, and T loops). Further hydrogen bonds mediate the characteristic L-shaped molecular structure. tRNAs have two regions of fundamental functional importance: the anti-codon, which is responsible for specific mRNA codon recognition, and the 3' end, to which the tRNAs corresponding amino acid is attached (by aminoacyl-tRNA synthetases). tRNAs cope with the degeneracy of the genetic code in two manners: having more than one tRNA (with a specific anti-codon) for a particular amino acid; and 'wobble' base-pairing, i.e. permitting non-standard base-pairing at the 3rd anti-codon position.
Source: RNAcentral